Mustela putorius furo (domestic ferret) is the source of this 1074-nucleotide long non-coding RNA. Lineage: Eukaryota; Metazoa; Chordata; Mammalia; Carnivora; Mustelidae. The record is from Ensembl.
CCAGAACAAGACGCAGAACUUAGAAUUGUUGGUCCUUUCCCUGACGACUGUUCAAAUUCUUGGUUGCCAAGCAACAGAUGCUUUUGGCUCAUUCACAGAAAUGCCACACCCGAAAACUGGCACCAUGCCCUUCAUCCUAGAAGUCUGAAAGUCACAGAGAGCCCAGGGAAGCAAAGACCCCAGAGCAGGCGCGGCUCACCUCACUGUGUCUGCGGCUCCACACAUCUGAACGUCAGUGCCCAGGAUGGAGAGACAGGCCAGGCACGAAGCAGACCCUGGGGAGCUGGUUGCAGAACACUUACCACUUCCCGAGAAAGCCUCGUUUUGAGAGAAGAGAUCCAGGCCAGUAAAAGAAAGCAGAAAAACAGCUUCAGAGGGUGGAAGCAGCACCAGGAGAGGGAACAGUGCCCUGAAACCAAGGCAAGAGAAAUGGCCCAGAGGAAAGGGGAAGAAAGGCCGGCUGUAGGCGUGAGCCCGUCCACACACACCACCUGCACCGUGGCGCACAUGUCUUGGGACUGGCUGUGUGCGGCUGAGACAGCUGGCUGGCCCCAUGCCGGCAGGAGCAGGGCCCCGGGUGUGGGGUCCUCUGCCUGGUCCUCCUUGUAAGUCCCCGCCCAUGGCUCCUUCAUGCCACUGACAGUGCACACUUCUUCCCGACAUUUUCUCUAAACCCUUGGCUCUUUAGGAUAAUGAAGGCAUAAUCAGAAAGCUAUUUUCACAACAUCCAAAUCCUCCUCUGACAACAUUUAGCUAUUGAUGAUAGAAAACCUUCAUGUUUCCUGGAGUGCAGAUGUGAGAGCAGUAAGAAAGAAUUAAUAGCUUCACUUAUUAGCCACACUGCACUCAGACCCCACCUCGCGCACCCACCAUCUGAGACACAUGGUCUCCUGCUUCUGGGAGCCUUCCAGGCUGUUCCCAGAUUGCGGGGCUCAUUCCCUGUAGAACACUGGCAGGCUACAGUCACAUUAUGUAUCUGCUCAGCACUCAGGCAAGAAACCAUUAUGUUCACGGAUCAUUAUUGACAUCCUGACAUUUGUCACCUCCUUUCAUAGCAGUUAAAUCUUGCUUUAU